GGUGAACGCUGGCAGCGUGCCUAACACAUGCAAGUCGAGCGAACGGACGGGAAGCUUGCUGCUCUGAUGUUUGCGGCGGACGGGAGAGUAACCCGUGGAUAACCUACCUAUAAGACUGGGAUAAUUUCGGCAAACCGGAGCUAAUACCGGAUUAGAUUAUGUAUCACAUGGUUCAAAAGUAAAAGACGGUCUUGCUUUCACUUAUAGAUUUGUCCGCGUAGCAGUAGCUGAUUGGUAAGGUAACGGCGUACCAAGGCAACGAAGCAUAUCAGACCUGGGAGGGUGAGUGGCCGCCCUGGGACUGAGACACGGCACAGACGCCCACGGGAGCCGGCAGUAGGGCAUCUGCCGGCAUGAGCGAGAGCCUGUCGGAGCAACACCGAGAGAGUGAUGAAGGUAUUCGGAGCGUAAAACUCAGUUAUUAGGAAAGAACAUAUGUGUAAGUAGCUGUGAACAUCUUGACGGUACCUAAUCAGAAAGCCACGGCUAACUACGUG
This 497-nucleotide ribosomal RNA is filed under the name uncultured bacterium. RNAcentral's name for it is "partial 16S ribosomal RNA". It matches the Rfam family "Bacterial small subunit ribosomal RNA", at positions 28 to 507 of the family's 1533-position model. The record is from RNAcentral.